This 255-nucleotide ribosomal RNA is filed under the name uncultured bacterium. RNAcentral's name for it is "partial 16S ribosomal RNA". It matches the Rfam family "Bacterial small subunit ribosomal RNA", at positions 524 to 777 of the family's 1533-position model. The record is from RNAcentral.
UACAGAGGGUGCGAGCGUUUGUUCGGAAUUAUUGGGCGAAAGGGCGCGUAGGCGGUGCGGUAAGUCACCUGUGAAAUCUCCUGGCUCAACUGGGAGCUUGCAGGCGAAACUGCCGUGCUGGAGUGUGGGAGAGGUGCGUGGAAUUCCUGGUGUAGCGGUGAAAUGCGUAGAUAUCAGGAGGAACACCUGUGGCGAAAGCGGCGCACUGGACCACAACUGACGCUGAGGCGCGAAAAGCUAGGGGAGCGAACGGGG